UACGAAGGGUGCAAACGUUAUUCGGAAUCACUGGGCGUAAAGGGUGCGUAGGUGGCGCCGUAAGUCGGGUGUGAAAUUUCGGAGCUUAACUCCGAAACUGCAUUCGAUACUGCGGUGCUUGAGGACUGGAGAGGAGACUGGAAUUCAUGGUGUAGCAGUGAAAUGCGUAGAGAUCAUGAGGAAGACCAGUGGCGAAGGCGGGUCUCUGGACAGUUCCUGACACUGAGGCACGAAGGCCAGGGGAGCAAACGGG
Molecule: ribosomal RNA, 253 nt
Filed under: uncultured bacterium
Lineage: Bacteria
Description: partial 16S ribosomal RNA
Rfam family: Bacterial small subunit ribosomal RNA
Source: RNAcentral